Podarcis lilfordi (Lilford's wall lizard) is the source of this 69-nucleotide non-coding RNA. The record is from the annotation of a GenBank genome assembly. Lineage: Eukaryota; Metazoa; Chordata; Lepidosauria; Squamata; Lacertidae.
GCUGUAGCUCAAAGGUAGAGCAUCUGCUUUCCACGCAGAAGUUUCCAGGUUCACACCCUGCCAUCUCUA